RNAcentral lists this ribosomal RNA (208 nucleotides) under uncultured bacterium. Its description in RNAcentral is "partial 16S ribosomal RNA". It matches the Rfam family "Bacterial small subunit ribosomal RNA", at positions 568 to 774 of the family's 1533-position model. The record is from RNAcentral.
CGCGUAGGUGGUCUGAUAAGGGUGUGGUGAAAGCCCGGGGCUCAACCCCGGGUCGGCCGUGCCGACUGUUAGACUAGAGUACUGUAGGGGCAGGCGGAAUUCCGGGUGUAGCGGUGGAAUGCGUAGAGAUCCGGAGGAAGACCGGUGGCGAAGGCGGCCUGCUGGGCAGUUACUGACACUGAGGCGCGACAGCGUGGGGAAGCAAACA